This 485-nucleotide ribosomal RNA is filed under the name uncultured bacterium. RNAcentral describes it as "partial 16S ribosomal RNA". It matches the Rfam family "Bacterial small subunit ribosomal RNA", at positions 27 to 507 of the family's 1533-position model. The record is from RNAcentral.
GAUUGAACGCUGGCGGAAUGCUUUCCACAUGCAAGUCGAGCGGCAGCCCGGGGGCAACCCUGGUGGCGAGCGGCGAACGGGUGAGUAAUACAUCGGAACAUGCCCAGUCGUGGGGGAUAACACUUCGAAAGAAGUGCUAAUACCGCAUACGUCCUGAGGGGGAAAGCGGGGGAUCGCAAGACCUCGCGCGAUUGGAGUGGCCGAUGUCAGAUUAGCUAGUUGGUGGGGUAAAGGCCUACCAAGGCAACGAUCUGUAGCUGGUCUGAGAGGAUGAUCAGCCACACUGGGACUGAGACACGGCCCAGACUCCUACGGGAGGCAGCAGUGGGGAAUUUUGGACAAUGGGGGCAACCCUGAUCCAGCCAUUCCGCGUGAGUGAAGAAGGCCUUCGGGUUGUAAAGCUCUUUCGGCAGGAACGAAACGGUGAGCUCUAACAUAGCUUGCUAAUGACGGUACCUGAAGAAGAAGCACCGGCUAACUACGUG